Molecule: ribosomal RNA, 460 nt
Filed under: uncultured bacterium
Lineage: Bacteria
Description: partial 16S ribosomal RNA
Rfam family: Bacterial small subunit ribosomal RNA
Source: RNAcentral
CCUACGGGAGGCAGCAGUGAGGAAUAUUGGUCAAUGGCCGGAAGGCUGAACCAGCCAUGCCGCGUGAAGGUCAGUGCCCUAUGGGCGUUAAACUUCUUUUGUGCGGGAGCAAUAAUGGUCACGUGUGGCCAGACGAGAGUACCGUACGAAUAAGCAUCGGCUAACUCCGUGCCAGCAGCCGCGGUAAUACGGGGGAUGCAAGCGUUAUCCGGAUUUAUUGGGUUUAAAGGGUGCGUAGGCUGUGAGGUAAGUCAGCGGUGAAAUGCCCCGGCUCAACGGGGUGAAGUGCCAUUGAUACUGCCUGGCUGGAAUGCGGAUGCGGUGGGAGGAAUGUGUGGUGUAGCGGUGAAAUGCAUAGAUAUCACACAGAACACCGAUUGCGAAGGCAUCUCACGAAUCCGCGAUUGACGCUGAUGCACGAAAGCGUGGGUAUCAAACAGGAUUAGAUACCCCGGUAGUC